Molecule: small nuclear RNA, 116 nt
Filed under: Coniochaeta ligniaria NRRL 30616
Lineage: Eukaryota; Fungi; Ascomycota; Sordariomycetes; Coniochaetales; Coniochaetaceae
Description: U5 spliceosomal RNA
Rfam family: U5 spliceosomal RNA
About the family: U5 RNA is a component of both types of known spliceosome. The precise function of this molecule is unknown, though it is known that the 5' loop is required for splice site selection and p220 binding, and that both the 3' stem-loop and the Sm site are important for Sm protein binding and cap methylation.
Source: Rfam by way of RNAcentral
CAGGAGUGGCUCACCCUACAUCGAAUAUCUGCCUUGCCUUUUACCAGACAGAUCCGUGGGAUGGCCAAAAAACUCCAUUACCCAAUCUUUGGAAACCCAACGAACCAAGUUCGAUU